CGUGCUUGUUACAAAAGUAAUUUAACUAGCUUUCGAAUGACAUCAAAUUUGACCAUAUUUGUCACUGCAACUGGACUU
This is a long non-coding RNA of Bradysia coprophila, 78 nucleotides long. The record is from RefSeq and is a predicted model, not a curated record. Lineage: Eukaryota; Metazoa; Arthropoda; Insecta; Diptera; Sciaridae.